Molecule: unclassified non-coding RNA, 530 nt
Filed under: Hevea brasiliensis (rubber tree)
Lineage: Eukaryota; Viridiplantae; Streptophyta; Magnoliopsida; Malpighiales; Euphorbiaceae
Source: RNAcentral
AGAAAGCAUAUUUGAUAGAUCUGGAAGCAAGGGUGAAGGAAUUGGAAACAAAGAAUGCAGAACUUGAAGAGAGGUUGUCUACUUUGCAAAAUGAGAACCAAAUGCUUAGACAUAUACUGAAGAACACAACAGCAGGUGCACAGGAAGGGAGGAAGUAGACAUAUGAUCGAUCUUAUGUCGAUAUGUCAGCAUUCUUGUUUAGAUCCUAUGUAGGCACUGAAGAGAAAUUCUCUUCUGGAUUUGAGAAUGCAUGCUAGUUUCGGGUGGAUUGUUCUGAUUUGAUGCAUUGCAUACUUGCUACUCUUAACCGUUGUCGGUUAUAUAUUAUCAGCAGAGAGUGAAGGAUUGUGGCUAAGCUAUUCUUAAAGUCACCAGCCUUUGGUAAGUUGCAUGGACUAAUCUUGGAUGAUAUAUGCUACAAUUACCUAUAACCUUUGCUAGCGUUCCCUAGUGAGUUGAAAUCUUUAUUAAAAACCAAAUCGAUGUACUGAUAAGACUCGGUGUAAAAGAAUUUGUGCAAUUGAAAACCA